CAGUCGCCACGGGAAUACAGAGGGUGCGAGCGUUAAUCGGAUUUACUGGGCGUAAAGCGUGCGUAGGCGGCUUUUUAAGUCGGAUGUGAAAUCCCUGAGCUUAACUUAGGAAUUGCAUUCGAUACUGGGAAGCUAGAGUAUGGGAGAGGAUGGUAGAAUUCCAGGUGUAGCGGUGAAAUGCGUAGAGAUCUGGAGGAAUACCGAUGGCGAAGGCAGCCAUCUGGCCUAAUACUGACGCUGAGGUACGAAAGCAUGGGGAGCAAACAGGAUUAGAGACCCCUGUAGUCCCUGUCUCUUAUAC
RNAcentral lists this ribosomal RNA (301 nucleotides) under uncultured bacterium. RNAcentral's name for it is "partial 16S ribosomal RNA". It matches the Rfam family "Bacterial small subunit ribosomal RNA", at positions 509 to 807 of the family's 1533-position model. The record is from RNAcentral.